Molecule: ribosomal RNA, 353 nt
Filed under: uncultured bacterium
Lineage: Bacteria
Description: bacterial SSU rRNA
Rfam family: Bacterial small subunit ribosomal RNA
Source: RNAcentral
GGGCCCGCACAAGCGGUGGAUUAUGUGGUUUAAUUCGAAGCAACGCGCAGAACCUUACCUAGGCUUGAAAUCCUCAGAAUUCGACGUAAUGGUCGAAGUGCCCGCAAGGGAAUUGAGUGACAGGUGCUGCAUGGCUGUCGUCAGCUCGUGUUGAUGAAUGGUUGGUAGUCUCGCAACGAGCGCAACCCCUAUCUUUAGUUGCCAGCAUUAAGUUGGGCACUCUAGAGAGACUGCCCGGGUUAACCGGGAGGAAGGUGGGGAUGACGUCAAGUCCUCAUGGCCCUUAUGCCUAGGGCUACACACGUAAUACAAUGGUGCAUACAAUGGGAAGCGACCCGGCGACGGUAAGCAAA